Molecule: microRNA precursor, 156 nt
Filed under: Arabidopsis thaliana (thale cress)
Lineage: Eukaryota; Viridiplantae; Streptophyta; Magnoliopsida; Brassicales; Brassicaceae
Also listed under: 1 other name
Description: microRNA MIR405
Rfam family: MIR405 microRNA precursor family
Source: RNAcentral
UUAACCCAUUUAACAACUCAACCCAUCAAAUUAAAUGAGUUAUGGGUUGACCCAACCCAUUUAACAAAAUGAGUUGGGUCAACCCAUAAGUCAUUUAACAAAAUGAGUUGGGUCAACCCAUAACUCAUUUAACCCUAAACUCAUUUGAUUAUAAGU